ACGGAAGGCAGCAGUGGGGAAUAUUGCACAAUGGGGGAAACCCUGAUGCAGCAACGCCGCGUGAAGGAAGAAGGUUUUCGGAUCGUAAACUUCUAUCAAUAGGGACGAAGGAAAUGACGGUACCUAAAUAAGAAGCCCCGGCUAACUACGUGCCAGCAGCCGCGGUAAUACGUAGGGGGCGAGCGUUAUCCGGAAUUACUGGGUGUAAAGGGAGCGUAGGCGGCAUGGUAAGUAAGAUGUGAAAGCCCGCAGCUUAACUGCGAGGAUUGCAUUUUAAACUAUCAAGCUAGAGUACAGGAGAGGAAAGCGGAAUUCCUAGUGUAGCGGUGAAAUGCGUAGAUAUUAGGAAGAACACCAGUGGCGAAGGCGGCUUUCUGGACUGAAACUGACGCUGAGGCUCGAAAGCGUGGGGAGCGAACAGGAUUAGAUACCCUGGUA
RNAcentral lists this ribosomal RNA (438 nucleotides) under uncultured bacterium. RNAcentral describes it as "bacterial SSU rRNA". It matches the Rfam family "Bacterial small subunit ribosomal RNA", at positions 341 to 792 of the family's 1533-position model. The record is from RNAcentral.